UACGUAGGGUGCAAGCGUUAAUCGGAAUUACUGGGCGUAAAGCGUGCGCAGGCGGUUAUGUAAGACAGAUGUGAAAUGCCCGGGCUUAACCUGGGAACUGCAUUUGUGACUGCACGGCUAGAGUUUGGCAGAGGGGGGUAGAAUUCCACGUGUAGCAGUGAAAUGCGUAGAUAUGUGGAGGAACACCGAUAGCGAAGGCAGCCCCCUGGGUCAAGACUGACGCUCAUGCACGAAAGCGUGGGGAGCAAACAGG
This 253-nucleotide ribosomal RNA is filed under the name uncultured bacterium. RNAcentral describes it as "partial 16S ribosomal RNA". It matches the Rfam family "Bacterial small subunit ribosomal RNA", at positions 524 to 776 of the family's 1533-position model. The record is from RNAcentral.